UACGUAGGGUGCGAGCGUUGUCCGGAAUUACUGGGCGUAAAGAGCUCGUAGGUGGUUUGUCGCGUUGUCCGUGAAAACUCACAACUCAAUUGUGGGCGUGCGGGCGAUACGGGCAGACUGGAGUACUGCAGGGGAGACUCGAAUUCCUGGUGUAGCGGUGGAAUGCGCAGAUAUCAGGAGGAACACCGGUGGCGAAGGCGGGUCUCUAGGCAGUAACUGACGCUGAGGAGCGAAAGCGUGGGGAGCGAACAGG
RNAcentral lists this ribosomal RNA (253 nucleotides) under uncultured bacterium. RNAcentral's name for it is "partial 16S ribosomal RNA". It matches the Rfam family "Bacterial small subunit ribosomal RNA", at positions 524 to 776 of the family's 1533-position model. The record is from RNAcentral.